This 209-nucleotide unclassified non-coding RNA is filed under the name Hevea brasiliensis (rubber tree). The record is from RNAcentral. Lineage: Eukaryota; Viridiplantae; Streptophyta; Magnoliopsida; Malpighiales; Euphorbiaceae.
CUUCUCACGAACCUCUACCCUUCUCCUUCUCUAUCCCUCCCUAAUCCCUAUUUCAGAUUCUCAUCACUACACACCAAUCUCUAUCCCUUCCUCACCCAUCUAACUUAUUNNUCCUUCACCCAUAUCAGAGGAUCAUUGCAUCGUGCUCAAAGAUUCAUCAAUGAGCAUUGCACCCGAAAGACCUAUCGAUGAGCAUCACACCCAGAGAC